GGUGAGUAACACGUGGAUAACCUACCUAUAAGACUGGGAUAACUUCGGGAAACCGGAGCUAAUACCGGAUAAUAUUUUGAACCGCAUGGUUCAAAAGUAAAAGACGGUCUUGCUGUCACUUAUAGAUGGAUCCGCGCUGCAUUAGCUAGUUGGUAAGGUAACGGCUUACCAAGGCAACGAUGCAUAGCCGACCUGAGAGGGUGAUCGGCCACACUGGAACUGAGACACGGUCCAG
Molecule: ribosomal RNA, 235 nt
Filed under: uncultured Staphylococcus sp.
Lineage: Bacteria; Bacillati; Bacillota; Bacilli; Caryophanales; Staphylococcaceae
Description: partial 16S ribosomal RNA
Rfam family: Bacterial small subunit ribosomal RNA
Source: RNAcentral